This 116-nucleotide ribosomal RNA is filed under the name Aspergillus lentulus. Lineage: Eukaryota; Fungi; Ascomycota; Eurotiomycetes; Eurotiales; Aspergillaceae. The record is from RNAcentral.
ACGACCAUAGGGUGUCGAAAACAGGGCUUCCCGUCCGCUCAGCCGUACUUAAGCCACACGCCGGCCGGUUAGUAGUUGGGUGGGUGACCACCAGCGAAUCCCGGCUGUUGUAUGUU